This 74-nucleotide microRNA precursor is filed under the name Myotis lucifugus (little brown bat). RNAcentral describes it as "mir-9193 microRNA precursor family". It matches the Rfam family "mir-9193 microRNA precursor family". The record is from Rfam by way of RNAcentral. Lineage: Eukaryota; Metazoa; Chordata; Mammalia; Chiroptera; Vespertilionidae.
CUCGGGGGAAGGGGGUCUCUCAGCCCAGAUUACAAGAGGGUGCAGGCCAGGCCGAGGAACCCCACUGGUGCUUG